UGGGGGAUAUUGCACAAUGGGGGAAACCCUGAUGCAGCGACGCCGCGUGAGGGAAGAAGGUCUUCGGAUUGUAAACCUCUGUCUUUGGGGACGAUAAUGACGGUACCCAAGGAGGAAGCUCCGGCUAACUACGUGCCAGCAGCCGCGGUAAUACGUAGGGAGCGAGCGUUGUCCGGAAUUACUGGGUGUAAAGGGAGCGUAGGCGGGUUUGUAAGUUAAAUGUGAAAUCUAUGGGCUCAACCCAUAAACUGCGUUUAAAACUGCAGAUCUUGAGUGGAGUAGAGGCAGGCGGAAUUCCUAGUGUAGCGGUGAAAUGCGUAGAUAUUAGGAGGAACACCAGUGGCGAAGGCGGCCUGCUGGGCUCUAACUGACGCUGAGGCUCGAAAGCGUGGGUAGCAAACAGG
Molecule: ribosomal RNA, 404 nt
Filed under: uncultured prokaryote
Also listed under: 1 other name
Description: bacterial SSU rRNA
Rfam family: Bacterial small subunit ribosomal RNA
Source: RNAcentral